Molecule: ribosomal RNA, 253 nt
Filed under: uncultured bacterium
Lineage: Bacteria
Description: partial 16S ribosomal RNA
Rfam family: Bacterial small subunit ribosomal RNA
Source: RNAcentral
UACGUAGGUGGCAAGCGUUGUCCGGAUUUACUGGGCGUAAAGAGCGCGCAGGCGGUCGUUCAAGUCGCGUGUGAAAGCCCCCGGCUCAACUGGGGAGGGUCACGCGAUACUGAUCGACUCGAAGGCAGGAGAGGGUAGUGGAAUUCCCGGUGUAGUGGCGAAAUGCGUAGAUAUCGGGAGGAACACCAGUGGCGAAGGCGACUACCUGGCCUGUUCUUGACGCUGAGGCGCGAAAGCCAGGGGAGCAAACGGG